UUCACUCAUGAAUUCUUUCCUGUGUGAAGCCAGGAAAUCUGUUGGGCUGGUUUUGGGGAUCACCUACAUCACUAUCACUUACUGUGAUCUUGGACAAAUGGAAUCUUUUCUUCCAUGCUUUAGCUUCCGCGUUUGUAAAGCGAGUAUGAUAAUACUACUUAAUUCAUAGGAUUAAAUAAUACUAUUUACUUGAUAAGAUUAAAAUAGCUUCCUCAUAAGCAGACCCCGGAAAACACCGUCAUCAGAUUAUUCUGCUAAGAAAUUUAAACCAAGGAAAUGGAGCACAAACCCUAAAGACUCAGUGUGUUUCCGUGUUUGACCUCCAGAGGGCAAUGUUUCAUAGACUGGAAAUGUCUCUGCUAAGAAGAGUUCUGUCUUUCCUGAGCGGCUUUAUCUGACAGCUCACUGAGGUGCACAUUCUGAGUAGGAUCAACACCAGAGGGGUUGUUGUCAAGACAGCAGCUCUUACUAGUGGUCUCUAGGCCUUACUAAACAGGAAACUCUUGAAUCCUAGAUUUUCCCCAUUAUAAGGACUCACCAUCCUCUGGCACAUUCCUUCCAGAGAUCUUCUAGAAUAGAGCUCUCAGCCUCCUCACUGCCUAGCCAUGCUCUUAGUGGUCAUUCUACUGCUUGGAAUGUUCUUCACACUGAGAGGAACCAGAGCCCAGUCGGUGACCCAGCUUGAUGGCCACAUCAUUGUCUCUGAAAGAGACCCUCUGGAACUGAAGUGCAACUAUUCCUAUAGUGGAAUUCCUUCUCUCUUCUGGUAUGUCCAAUACCCCAGCCAAAGCCUUGAGCUUCUCCUCAAGGACCUAUCAGGGGCCACCCAGGUUAAAGGCAUCAAAGGUUUUGAGGCUGAAUUUAAGAAGAGCGAAACCUCCUUCUACCUGAGGAAGCCAUCAGCCCAUGUAAGCGAUGCUGCUGAGUACUUAUGUGCUGUGAGUGACACAGUGCCUGGGACUACAGCAGGAGCUGAACACAAACUUCCUGAGACACUGAGGUCUUCAGCAACUCAAGGGCACAACCUGACCUGUUUGUAGCAAGCUCUCUUUUGAUGAAAGUGAGAAAGGUGGAAGAACAAGCCAUGAGGAGUGCUUGACUCCAGGAAGAAACAGAGACUUCAACACGUUCCUUCUUUUAC
Cercocebus atys (sooty mangabey) is the source of this 1141-nucleotide non-coding RNA. Lineage: Eukaryota; Metazoa; Chordata; Mammalia; Primates; Cercopithecidae. The record is from the annotation of a RefSeq genome assembly.